RNAcentral lists this ribosomal RNA (253 nucleotides) under uncultured bacterium. Its description in RNAcentral is "partial 16S ribosomal RNA". It matches the Rfam family "Bacterial small subunit ribosomal RNA", at positions 524 to 776 of the family's 1533-position model. The record is from RNAcentral.
UACGUAGGGGGCAAGCGUUGUCCGGAAUCAUUGGGCGUAAAGCGCGUGUAGGCGGCCCAGUAAGUCCGCUCUGAAAGCCCGGGGCUCAACCCCGGGAGGCGGGUGGAUACUGCUGGGCUCGAGUCCGGAAGAGGCGAGUGGAAUUCCUGGUGUAGCGGUGAAAUGCGUAGAUAUCAAGUGGAACACCAGUGGCGAAGGCGAGUCUCUGGACAUUUCCUGACGCUGAGGCACGAAAGCCAGGGGAGCAAACGGG